RNAcentral lists this transfer RNA (67 nucleotides) under Rapisma xizangense. RNAcentral's name for it is "tRNA-Ser". The record is from RNAcentral. RNAcentral also lists the same sequence under 2 other names. Lineage: Eukaryota; Metazoa; Arthropoda; Insecta; Neuroptera; Rapismatidae.
AAUUAAUGAACUUGAAUAAGUAUAUGUUUUGAAAACAUAAAAUAAAUGUAGAAUCAUUUAUUAAUUU